AGUGAACGCUGGCGGUAGGCCUAACACAUGCAAGUCGAACGGCAGCACAGUACGUGCUUGCUCUCACGGGUGGCGCGUGGCGGACGCUUGCGGAAGACUUCGGAAUCUACUUUUUCGUGGGGGCUAACGUAGGGAAACUUACGCUAAUACCGCAUUCGACCUCCGAGUGUAAGCACGCGAUCUUCGGACCUUGCGCUAUUGAAUGGGCCUAUGUCGCCUUCGCUAGUUGGCGGGUUUGAGGCCCUCCAAGGCGACGAUCCGUAGCUGGUCUGGCCGGAUGUUCCGCUAGAUUGGAUCUGAGAAAGGGUCCAGACUCCGACGCGGGGAAGCAGUGGGGAAUAUUGGACAAUGGAGGAAAGCCUGAUCCAGCAAUACCGCGUGGGUGAAGAAGGCCUUAGGGUUGGAAAGCCAUUUUGUUGGGAGAGAAAAGCAGCAGGUUAAUACCCCGCGGUUAUGACGGUACCCAAAGAAUAAGCACCGGCUAACUUCGUG
This 492-nucleotide ribosomal RNA is filed under the name uncultured bacterium. RNAcentral describes it as "partial 16S ribosomal RNA". It matches the Rfam family "Bacterial small subunit ribosomal RNA", at positions 29 to 507 of the family's 1533-position model. The record is from RNAcentral.